AUUGAACGCUGGCGGCAUGCCUUACACAUGCAAGUCGAACGGCAGCACGGGUGCUUGCACCUGGUGGCGAGUGGCGAACGGGUGAGUAAUACAUCGGAACAUGUCCUGUAGUGGGGGAUAGCCCGGCGAAAGCCGGAUUAAUACCGCAUACGAUCCACGGAUGAAAGCGGGGGACCUUCGGGCCUCGCGCUAUAGGGUUGGCCGAUGGCUGAUUAGCUAGUUGGUGGGGUAAAGGCCUACCAAGGCGACGAUCAGUAGCUGGUCUGAGAGGACGACCAGCCACACUGGGACUGAGACACGGCCCAGACUCCUACGGGAGGCAGCAGUGGGGAAUUUUGGACAAUGGGCGAAAGCCUGAUCCAGCAAUGCCGCGUGUGUGAAGAAGGCCUUCGGGUUGUAAAGCACUUUUGUCCGGAAAGAAAUCCUUGACUCUAAUACAGUCGGGGGAUGACGGUACCGGAAGAAUAAGCACCGGCUAACUACGUGC
This 487-nucleotide ribosomal RNA is filed under the name uncultured bacterium. Its description in RNAcentral is "partial 16S ribosomal RNA". It matches the Rfam family "Bacterial small subunit ribosomal RNA", at positions 30 to 508 of the family's 1533-position model. The record is from RNAcentral.